Molecule: ribosomal RNA, 775 nt
Filed under: uncultured Neocallimastigales
Lineage: Eukaryota; Fungi; Neocallimastigomycota; Neocallimastigomycetes; Neocallimastigales
Description: partial large subunit ribosomal RNA
Rfam family: Eukaryotic large subunit ribosomal RNA
Source: RNAcentral
UAUGUGAUCGUCUCUCGCAUAUCAAUAAGCGGAGGAAAAGAAACUAACAAGGAUUCCCCCUAGUAACGGCGAGUGAAGCGGGAAGAGCUCAAAUUUGAAACCUUAAAGGGUUUCCCUUUACGAAUUGUAGUUUAAAGAAGUGUUUUCUGUUGAGGUUUUGGUAAAAGUUCUUUGGAAUAGGACAUCAUAGAGGGUGAGAAUCCCGUAUUUGACCUUUACUUUCAACUUUGUGAUACACUUUCAAAGAGUCGGAUUGUUUGGGAAUGCAGUCCAAAAUGGGUGGUAAAUUUCAUCUAAAGCUAAAUAUUGGCGAGAGACCGAUAGCGAACAAGUACCGUGAGGGAAAGAUGAAAAGAACUUUGAAAAGAGAGUUAAACAGUACGUGAAAUUGUCAAAAGGGAAGCGUUUGACACCAGUGUUGUUUUUCUGAAAAUCAAUUAAAGAACUGUUUAUGCUAAGCUGUUUAGACUUUAUCAGCUAACUGUUUAGUUUUGAGCUUUUCUUCAAUGCACUUUUCAGUUAACAAGUCAACAUCAAUUUCUUUUGCUGUAAAAAAGCUUGAGGAAGGUGGCUUGAGAUUCGUCUUAAGUGUUUAUAGCCUCUUGCCUAUGCAGUCGGAGAGAUUGAGGUCUGCAGCGUAGAUCCUUCGGGGCUAAAUGCAUUUGUGCUAAGUUAUAGCAUUUUAUAGACAACUUGUUGACUAUGAUUUGUCUUGUAGCUUACUCGCUUAUGUUAUUUUACCUACGCUUAGGAUGUUGAGUAGCGACAUACGCAC